Molecule: ribosomal RNA, 301 nt
Filed under: uncultured bacterium
Lineage: Bacteria
Description: partial 16S ribosomal RNA
Rfam family: Bacterial small subunit ribosomal RNA
Source: RNAcentral
CAGCAGCGCGGUAAUACAGAGGGUGCGAGCGUUAAUCGGAUUUACUGGGCGUAAAGCGUGCGUAGGCGGCUUCUUAAGUCGGAUGUGAAAUCCCUGAGCUUAACUUAGGAAUUGCAUUCGAUACUGGGAAGCUAGAGUAUGGGAGAGGAUGGUAGAAUUCCAGGUGUAGCGGUGAAAUGCGUAGAGAUCUGGAGGAAUACCGAUGGCGAAGGCAGCCAUCUGGCCUAAUACUGACGCUGAGGUACGAAAGCAUGGGGAGCAAACAGGAUUAGAUACCCCAGUAGUCCCUGUCUCUUAUACA